Molecule: ribosomal RNA, 378 nt
Filed under: Fulvius itabiritensis
Lineage: Eukaryota; Metazoa; Arthropoda; Insecta; Hemiptera; Miridae
Description: partial 16S ribosomal RNA
Source: RNAcentral
GUUCUUUUGAUAAAAAUAUAAGAUCAGGCCUGCCCUAUGAGAUAUUAAAUGGCUGCAGUAUAUUGACUGUACAAAGGUAGCAUAAUCAUUUGUCUUUUAAUUGAGGACUAGAAUGAAAGGCUUGAUGAAAAAUAUUCUUUCUUUAUUUUAAAAAUAAAAUUUUACUUUUAAGUUAAAAGGCUUAAAUAUCAUUAAGGGACGAGAAGACCCUGUAGAACUUUAUAUUGAUUAAAUAAACUAAAUAUAGGAAAUAAUCAUAGUUUAUCAUUAUCCAAUAUUUUGUUGGGGUGACAAAAAAAAUAAAAUAACUUUUUUUAUGAAUGACAUAUAUAUAUGUUUUAUGGAUCCAGAAUAUUCUGAAUAAAAGAGUAAGUUACC